This 168-nucleotide unclassified non-coding RNA is filed under the name uncultured Ascomycota. RNAcentral describes it as "sequence contains ITS2". Lineage: Eukaryota; Fungi; Ascomycota. The record is from RNAcentral.
CACCUCUCCAGCUCCCGCUGGGUGUUGGGCGUCUUCGCGGUCGCGCUCGUCGCGCCGCGCGCCCCAAUGUCACUCGGCCGCGCCGGCCGUCUCCCCAGCGUUGUGGCUUUCACGUCUCGCUUCGGAGUCCGCCCGGUCGCGUCGCCGUCGACCCCCCAUAUUCUUUCA